CCUACGGGUGGCAGCAGUGGGGAAUAUUGCACAAUGGGGGAAACCCUGAUGCAGCGACGCCGCGUGAGUGAAGAAGUAUUUCGGUACGUAAAGCUCUAUCAGCAGGGAAGAAAAUGACGGUACCUGACCAAGAAGCCCCGGCUAACUACGUGCCAGCAGCCGCGGUAAUACGGAGGGGGCAAGCGUUAUCCGGAUUUACUGGGUGUAAAGGGAGCGUAGACGGCAGCGCAAGUCUGGAGUGAAAUGCCAUGGCUUAACCAUGGGACUGCUUUGGAAACUGUGCGGCUAGAGUGCAGGAGAGGUAAGCGGAAUUCCUAGUGUAGCGGUGAAAUGCGUAGAUAUUAGGAGGAACACCAGUGGCGAAGGCGGCUUACUGGACUGUAACUGACGUUGAGGCUCGAAAGCGUGGGGAGCAAACAGGAUUAGAUACCCUAGUAGUC
RNAcentral lists this ribosomal RNA (440 nucleotides) under uncultured bacterium. Its description in RNAcentral is "partial 16S ribosomal RNA". It matches the Rfam family "Bacterial small subunit ribosomal RNA", at positions 338 to 795 of the family's 1533-position model. The record is from RNAcentral.